GUUAUUUAUGCAUAUACUUGAAUUAUGUUAUUCUUCCUUAGAGGAGGUGAAGCUGCAAAAUGAAUUUGUGUUUCCCUUAUUAGUUUUUCCCCUCAUUGGUUACUAAGACAUUAUCAGUAUUUUUAUAGUGACGUCAUACAUGCCUCAAUUUUUUAGGAACGAUUAUCUGGUUGCAAAGGAAAAGAUCAGAAAAGAAUAAGCA
RNAcentral lists this long non-coding RNA (202 nucleotides) under Linum usitatissimum (flax). RNAcentral describes it as "long non-coding RNA (LUSI_LNC000331)". The record is from RNAcentral. Lineage: Eukaryota; Viridiplantae; Streptophyta; Magnoliopsida; Malpighiales; Linaceae.